CCUACGGGGCGCAGCAGUGGGGAAUAUUGCACAAUGGGGGAAACCCUGAUGCAGCGACGCCGCGUGAAGGACGAAGUAUUUCGGUACGUAAACUACUAUCAGCAGGGAAGAAAAUGACGGUACCUGACCAAGAAGCCCCGGCUAACUACGUGCCAGCAGCCGCGGUAAUACGUAGGGGGCAAGCGUUAUCCGGAUUUACUGGGUGUAAAGGGAGCGUAGACGGCCAUGCAAGUCUGAUGUGAAAGCCCGUGGCUCAACCGCGGAACUGCUUUGGAAACUGUAUAGCUUGAGUACUGGAGAGGCAG
This 305-nucleotide ribosomal RNA is filed under the name uncultured bacterium. RNAcentral describes it as "bacterial SSU rRNA". It matches the Rfam family "Bacterial small subunit ribosomal RNA", at positions 338 to 660 of the family's 1533-position model. The record is from RNAcentral.